This 253-nucleotide ribosomal RNA is filed under the name uncultured bacterium. RNAcentral's name for it is "partial 16S ribosomal RNA". It matches the Rfam family "Bacterial small subunit ribosomal RNA", at positions 524 to 776 of the family's 1533-position model. The record is from RNAcentral.
UACGGAGGGUGCGAGCGUUAUCCGGAAUUACUGGGUUUAAAGGGUGCGUAGGCGGCGCUGUAAGUCAGGAGUGAAAGUUUGCGGCUCAACCGUAAAAUUGCUUUUGAUACUGCGGUGCUGGAAUUAGGAUGAGGUCAGCGGAAUGUGGCAUGUAGCGGUGAAAUGCAUAGAUAUGCCAUAGGACACCAAUUGCGAAGGCAGCUGGCUAGACCUGGAUUGACGCUGAGGCACGAAAGCGUGGGGAGCGAACAGG